Molecule: long non-coding RNA, 3592 nt
Organism: Ictalurus punctatus (channel catfish)
Lineage: Eukaryota; Metazoa; Chordata; Actinopteri; Siluriformes; Ictaluridae
Source: Ensembl
UAUCUAUUGAUCUUUCUAUCUAUCUGUCUAUCUAUCUAUUGAUCGAUCUAUCUAUCUAUCUUUUCUGUCUAUCUCUUGAUCUAUGUCUUCUAUCUAUCUAUCUAUCUAUCUAUCUAUCUAUCGAUCUUUCUAUCUGUCUGUCUGUCUGUCUGUCUGUCUGUCUGUCUGUCUGUCUGUCUUCCGUGUCUGUCAUGUCUCCGCGGCUGCGUGCACAGGGAAUGGGGAGGUAAAGACGACGCUGUGGAACACGGGCAGUUUUUCUCAGCUGCUUCGGUACAUUUCUCGGAUCAGAACUGAAACUGUCAGCACCACGUCUUCAACCUCCUCAUCAUCUAGUCACGUUCAUGCAGUUGAUUAUGUGCAGCUGUUUGCAGUUCCCUACAUUAUCAACUGCUUCUGUCAUGUUCAUCAAAAUAUAUUAUACUGCUUCUCUGUGGAAAAGUCUUUACCCCCCAGAACAUCUGGACAUCACUUCACUGCAUAAAUCAUUCGGUGCGACACGGCUGAGCCAGUUCUCCUAGAUGUAUAGACAGUAGGAGAUACUGGCAGUGUGAGUACGCUGUUAUAUUGACAACACGGCUACGCGUUCUCUCUACCUUGGCGUUCUCACGGCCCGGAGAUGUUCCCAGACUGAAAUAUUUACUUCCGAGAGAUGAUUCCGAGCAAGUUGCAUGCUUUUGCAGGGAGCGUUUGCGUUGUGUGGUGUUCGGAGAAAAGCGCUUACUUAAACGCACUUGAAUGUUAAGCGCGAUUCGGGGAAAUGUACCGAGGCGACCGAGGAAAAAAACUAACACCGGAGAAUAAACCAAACCACAUUUCCUGUACACGUCGUGUAUUCGUUAAUAAAUCAGCAUGACACGUUCAAUUCGAAUAUUUUAUGUUGUUAUAUAAAAUUCAAAUUCAAAGCCUUUCAGGAAACCACAGUGCCAAAGUGCUGAACGCCUCUUACACAAAGCGUGCUCCUCAGGAGUUUACGUAUCUUCAGUUUUAGCAAGGAGCCGCUGUUUUAGAGUCACCAAACAGUGGCCAGAUGUAAGAUUAUUACUAGUCCUCCGUACGAAAGAGUCCGCUAAAUGAGACUGCUUUACUUGUGUAACUGUGUACACGUUUAAUCAGACGUUUUAAACAAUAACAUCUGACCUAAAGGUAUGAACUCAUUCUGUACCAGCUGACAUGAGAGAGAGAGGGAGAGAGAGAGGGAGAGACAGAGAGAGAUAGAGAAAGACAGAGAGAGAUAAAGGUAUGAACUCAUUCUGUACCAGCUGACAUGAGAGAGAGAGGGAGAGAGAGAGGGAGAGACAGAGAGAGACACACAGAGAGAGAUAGAGAAAGACAGAGAGACACAGAGAGAGAGAUAGAGAUAAAGACAGAGAGAGAGAAAGAGACACAGAGAGAGAUAGAGAAAGAGAGACAUAGAGAGAGAUAGAGAGAGAGAUAGAGAAAGAGAGACACAGAGAGAGAGAUAGAGAAAGAGACACAGAGAGAGAUAGAGAGAGAAAGACAGACACAGAGAGAGAGAGAUAGAGAAAGAGAGACACAGAGAGAGAGAGAGAUAGAGAAAGAGAGACAGAGAGAUAGAGAGAGAGAUAAAGACAGAGACACAGAGAGAUAGAGAAAGAGAGACACAGAGAGAGAGAGAUAAAGACAGAGACACAGAGAGAGAGAUAGAGAAAGAGAGACAGAGAGAGAGAGAUAAAGACACACAGAGAGAGAUAGAGAAAGACAGACACACAGAGAGAGAUAGAGAAAGACAGACACAGAGAGAGAGAUAGAGAAAGACACAGAGAGAGAGAGAAAGACACACAGAGAGAGAGAAAGACAGACACAGAGAGAGACACAGAGACAGAUAGAGAGAGAGAGAGAGAGAGAGAGAGAGAGAGAGACACUAACAGUGUAAAACUAUUCGAGCGGUCUGAAGCUCCACUGUGAAGUUAUUUAUGUGUAAACACACUGUUGGCUUCCUGUAGGCCGUGUCUUAGUGGUGUGUUUAUUUAUUUAUUUAUUUAAUACGAGCAACAGAAAAGACACAUGAAGUGAGAAGGGGUUCGUCGGUUCGUCGGUUCGUCGGUUUGUUGGUGUUUUUGUUUGUGUUUAUUUUUAAUUGUAACGGAUUUAAGUGGUACACGCUGGGCCUCGGGGUGUGGCGUUUGGCCUAAUCCUCCUUUGAGCUGUACAUAACUCUGAUUAAGCACUCACACACACUCUCACACACUCUCACACACACACACACACACACACGCACACACACACACACACACACUGCAGGCCAACAGCCGAGAGCGGGGAAGUUAUUUUGAGAUUUAAAAAUGUAUCCUCGGUUGCCAGAAAUCGGUUCUUACUUUGCUUUUCGGCAGCAAAACAACCGUCAGUCAUCUCCGUGUGUGUGUGUGUGUGUGUGUGUGUGUGUGUUUAUUUUAGAGCGUGUUCUAAAUUAAUUGCUUUAAAAAAAAAAAAAACAUAAAAAGAAAGCUUAAAGGUACGUGUGUUAAUCCAAGAGGAUUUAUAUUUGAACUAUUUAAAAAAAAAAAAGGUUAAUAUUCAUCUGUAGAAAUAUAAUAAAUUUAUAAUAAAUAAAUAUAAUGUUGUAUAGCAGCAAGUAGAUAUGGUUACAGAUGUUUAAUAUACGUCUGAUAAUAAAUGUGUCACAGUUCGGUUCUGUCGUCCUGCCGGCUUCUUCGUUCACGGUUCCUCCCGUUUAGCGCUCCACUUGUCCUUAUAUGGUCGCUGUUUCCUGUUCUGGUGUGCUUGUUACUUUACCAGUGUCACCUGUGGCGUGUUCCCUUUAACGGGUUUCUCCGUUUAAGCUCUCGGUGUGGCGUUAUGGUGUUACGGUGCGAGCCGUGUGUUGCUUUCGUAGCUGUGUUUAGAGUUUCCUUUUCCUUUUCUGUCCACGCUGGAGUUCAAGAACAAACAAAUGAGCAGGAGGUGGAUUUCAAUCGGCGAGAUGUUCCUGCGUUCCUCGUUUAACAAAAACAGAAACGCUUGAGCAGUGUGACUAGUGUACUAACGAAACAUUUACCCACAAUUCCUCUCUUUCUUUCUUUCUUUCCUUGGGUUCUUCUAGUUAUUUUGUUCGUGCUUUCAUUCCGUUCUUUCAUUCGAAUUAUUCCGUCAUUGCGUUCUUUCUUUUCUUCAUUUGCGCGGUUCUCGUUCGGUUCCUUCACUCGGGUUUCUCAUUUACUUUGUUCUUCCGUCGCUUCUUUCUUUUGUUCAUUCGCUCAGUUCUUUCUUUCAGUUCUUUGGCGGUCGUACAGUAGAGUGGUGAGUGUUUAUGACCCCACUGACCCCGGUGUCACAUGUAGACAUUUUAGAGAUAAACACCAAGGGCGAUUGUCGUGUGUGUGUGUGUGUGUGUGUGUGUGUGUGUGUGUGUGUGUGGCCAUAUGGUGUGUGUCCUUGUGUUGUAGCUUAAAGGUGAAGUUUCCCUGUAGAACGUCGAGCGUUUACUGCACUCUGCUAUUUAUUCACAUUCACUGUUCCCUCAGACCAACGACAACAAACACCAUUACCACCAACACCACAUCACUAUUACCACCAUUACCACCAAACAACACCAUUACUGCCAAACACCACCAUUACCGCCAUUACCACC